This 112-nucleotide ribosomal RNA is filed under the name Bacteroidota bacterium. The record is from RNAcentral. Lineage: Bacteria; Pseudomonadati; Bacteroidota.
UAUGGUGAUUAUGGCGCCGGGGUCCACCUCUUCCCAUUCCGAACAGAGCAGUUAAGCCCGGCAGCGCUGAUGGUACUGCCUUCACCGGUGGGAGAGUAGGUCGUCGCCAGAC